This 217-nucleotide ribosomal RNA is filed under the name uncultured bacterium. Its description in RNAcentral is "partial 16S ribosomal RNA". It matches the Rfam family "Bacterial small subunit ribosomal RNA", at positions 1288 to 1500 of the family's 1533-position model. The record is from RNAcentral.
UCAGUUCGGACUGCAGUCUGCAACUCGACUGCACGAAGCUGGAAUCGCUAGUAAUCGCGGAUCAGCACGCCGCGGUGAAUACGUUCCCGGGCCUUGUACACACCGCCCGUCACACCAUGGAAGUCUGCAAUGCCCGAAGCCGGUGGCCUAACCACUUAUGUGGAAGGAGCCGUCUAAGGCAGGGCAGAUGACUGGGGUGAAGUCGUAACAAGGUAUC